Molecule: ribosomal RNA, 255 nt
Filed under: uncultured bacterium
Lineage: Bacteria
Description: partial 16S ribosomal RNA
Rfam family: Bacterial small subunit ribosomal RNA
Source: RNAcentral
CGUAGGGCGCGAGCGUUGUCCGGAUUUAUUGGGCGUAAAGAGCUCGUAGGUGGUUCGUCGCGUCUGUCGUGAAAGCCAGCAGCUUAACUGUUGGUCUGCGGUGGGUACGGGCGGGCUUGAGUGCGGUAGGGGUGACUGGAAUUCCUGGUGUAGCGGUGGAAUGCGCAGAUAUCAGGAGGAACACCGAUGGCGAAGGCAGGUCACUGGGCCGUUACUGACACUGAGGAGCGAAAGCGUGGGGGAGCGAACAGGAUU